RNAcentral lists this long non-coding RNA (1538 nucleotides) under Nicotiana tabacum (common tobacco). RNAcentral's name for it is "long non-coding RNA (NTAB_LNC016032)". Lineage: Eukaryota; Viridiplantae; Streptophyta; Magnoliopsida; Solanales; Solanaceae. The record is from RNAcentral.
UAAAUCACAAAAUGUAGGAGAAUAUUCUAUAAAUGAACAAGUCAAUAACUUUGAGGGAGAUGAUAACAAAUCCAAAAACGAAGAUACAAACUUUGGGCUUAGGCGCCAUAUUAAACUUUGGCCCCUUAGGUCCUGUGUGAGCUUGAUCCGCCCCUGGCCCCUGCAGUGUUCUUCCACCUGUAAAGGAACAAUUUUUUGAUAACUUCUGUGUUGGGGCUGAGAUUAAAGGGGUCGUUGAAUGUCCCAACCAAGCAUUUGGAGCCGCCUCUGUUUCCGUCACCCCGGUCAUUCUUAGUUUGCUCCUGUAUCUCAAUCUGCUGCGAUGACCACUGGAGUAUUUUUGCUGCAUCUGGAUAUUUCUUGUUUCGGACAUCUGCGAAUCUCUGAAAUCUGAUGUUGAUGCUUAGAUACUUUGUUCUCCUAGGUGAAUUCUUAUAUCUAAUUUCAUAGGUAAGACACUUUGUUCUCCCUAGGUGAACGCUUAUGAGUCUGACUCCGUGAGAAACAUAAUUAGAAUUGGAUUCCAUUGUACUGGAAGCAUAACUCUAUUUACACAGAUUAUUUGGUAGGAACAAAUUUAACCUUUAGUAAAGAGACAUUAUAACUCGCCUUGAAGCAUCAUCUUAAUUUCCUUUAAUAAUUUUCUGCAUUACCUCCAUCUCUAUAUUGAUCUAUAACAUGGAGCUCCAUGUAAGAACAGUGGCAUAUGCAGGAAAUUUUAAUAAGUGGUGUCAAUAUUGAAAGAAAUAGGCAAAUUAAUAAAUUACCAUAAAAGGCAAGCAGUGUCAUUUUUAUAUUUACAUCUAAUUUUUAUGUUUAUUAUUUAUACAUACAUAUUGUUAAAAAAAUUAGACGAAGUGAUAUCGCGUGAUACCGCUUGGAACAAGGUGCCUACGCUCCUGUGUAAGAGCUUUAUCCUAGAUCUUGUGCUUGUAAACUGACGUUGAAUUUUAUCAGCUCGAAAAGUUGGGCUAGUUAUGGCAAUGUGUAACCUGAAGGGCAAUCUUCACAACAUCUAAAGAUAAAGCAUGCUAAUGCAUGUUAAUAUUCUGUCCUAUUAGUUAGGUUACAAGUUGAUUUUGCACCAAAUGACCAUAUAUAUAUAUAUGAAAUUUGCACCAGUAAGCUGAAUAAUAAAAUUGUGGAUACUGCAACAUCAUAAGAGCUCAGCAGUGAAAAAGAUACAAAGGACCCUUUUAUUAAUAGAAAAAUACACAUCUCCCACACUAUAUACAGAAAGGAACACUUUCAAAACUUGGAAAACCACUCGUUCCCUUGUAUCUCUCAUAGUGCUUUUACCUUGAUCACUUCUUUUUACAAGACCCUUUGUGCCUUCUCCUUUAUCAAGCUCACAGGAUUGCCAAAAUUUUGGUGCUCCUCACUUGAUAAAAUAUUAAAGUUUUGCAAAUGAUACAUGCAAGCAACAAUUCAGGAUCAUCGAACUGAACGAAUCAAUCUUGACUAACUUCUUUUGUAGCAGAGGUGGUCAACUCUAUGCUACUAAGAGCUGCUUCGAUAUCUUUGGCUUCAGCAGAAUC